RNAcentral lists this ribosomal RNA (482 nucleotides) under uncultured Propionibacterium sp. RNAcentral describes it as "bacterial SSU rRNA". It matches the Rfam family "Bacterial small subunit ribosomal RNA", at positions 1 to 499 of the family's 1533-position model. The record is from RNAcentral. Lineage: Bacteria; Bacillati; Actinomycetota; Actinomycetes; Propionibacteriales; Propionibacteriaceae.
AAUGUAUUUUUUUCUGGCUCAGGACGAACGCUGGCGGCGUGCUUAACACAUGCAAGUCGAACGGAAAGGCCCUGCUUUUGUGGGGUGCUCGAGUGGCGAACGGGUGAGUAACACGUGAGUAACCUGCCCUUGACUUUGGGAUAACUUCAGGAAACUGGGGCUAAUACCGGAUAGGAGCUCCUGCUGCAUGGUGGGGGUUGGAAAGUUUCGGCGGUUGGGGAUGGACUCGCGGCUUAUCAGCUUGUUGGUGGGGUAGUGGCUUACCAAGGCUUUGACGGGUAGCCGGCCUGAGAGGGUGACCGGCCACAUUGGGACUGAGAUACGGCCCAGACUCCUACGGGAGGCAGCAGUGGGGAAUAUUGCACAAUGGGCGGAAGCCUGAUGCAGCAACGCCGCGUGCGGGAUGACGGCCUUCGGGUUGUAAACCGCUUUCGCCUGUGACGAAGCGUGAGUGACGGUAAUGGGUAAAGAAGCACCGGCUA